RNAcentral lists this ribosomal RNA (676 nucleotides) under uncultured Dechloromonas sp. RNAcentral's name for it is "bacterial SSU rRNA". It matches the Rfam family "Bacterial small subunit ribosomal RNA", at positions 94 to 764 of the family's 1533-position model. Lineage: Bacteria; Pseudomonadati; Pseudomonadota; Betaproteobacteria; Rhodocyclales; Azonexaceae. The record is from RNAcentral.
AGUGGCGAACGGGUGAGUAAUGUAUCGGAACGUACCUUUCAGUGGGGGAUAACGUAGCGAAAGUUACGCUAAUACCGCAUAUUCUGUGAGCAGGAAAGCAGGGGAUCGAAAGACCUUGCGCUGAUUGAGCGGCCGAUAUCAGAUUAGCUAGUUGGUGGGGUAAAGGCCUACCAAGGCGACGAUCUGUAGCGGGUCUGAGAGGAUGAUCCGCCACACUGGAACUGAGACACGGUCCAGACUCCUACGGGAGGCAGCAGUGGGGAAUUUUGGACAAUGGGGGCAACCCUGAUCCAGCCAUGCCGCGUGAGUGAAGAAGGCCUUCGGGUUGUAAAGCUCUUACGGCCGGGAAGAAAUCGCAUAGGCUAAUACCCUGUGUGGAUGACGGUACCGGAAUAAGAAGCACCGGCUAACUACGUGCCAGCAGCCGCGGUAAUACGUAGGGUGCGAGCGUUAAUCGGAAUUACUGGGCGUAAAGCGUGCGCAGGCGGUUUCGUAAGACAGAGGUGAAAUCCCCGGGCUCAACCUGGGAACUGCCUUUGUGACUGCGAGGCUAGAGUACGCAGAAAGGGGGGUGGAAAUUCCACGGUGUAGCAGUGAAAUGCGUAGAGAAUUGUGGAGAACACGAAUGGCGAAGCAGCCCCCUGGCCGAUACUGACGCUCAUGCACGAAAGCGUGG